GACGAACGCUGGCGGCGUGCUUAACACAUGCAAGUCGAACGGAAAGGCCCCUUCGGGGGUGCUCGAGUGGCGAACGGGUGAGUAACACGUGGGUGAUCUGCCCUGCACUUCGGGAUAAGCUUGGGAAACUGGGUCUAAUACCGGAUAUACCUCAUGGGAUGCAUGUUUUGUGGGGGAAAGCUUUUGCGGUGUGGGAUGGGCCCGCGGCCUAUCAGCUUGUUGGUGGGGUGAUGGCCUACCAAGGCAUCGACGGGUAGCCGGCCUGAGAGGGUGUCCGGCCACACUGGGACUGAGAUACGGCCCAGACUCCUACGGGAGGCAGCAGUGGGGAAUAUUGCACAAUGGGCGCAAGCCUGAUGCAGCGACGCCGCGUGGGGAUGACGGCCU
Molecule: ribosomal RNA, 387 nt
Filed under: uncultured bacterium
Lineage: Bacteria
Description: bacterial SSU rRNA
Rfam family: Bacterial small subunit ribosomal RNA
Source: RNAcentral